Molecule: non-coding RNA, 28 nt
Filed under: Cricetulus griseus (Chinese hamster)
Lineage: Eukaryota; Metazoa; Chordata; Mammalia; Rodentia; Cricetidae
Source: RNAcentral
AGACUGACUUAGACUUAGGAGAGGGCUG